AGGCCUGCAGCAGCGGCUCAGGCCACGGCCGCGCGCGCGCCCAGCCGAGCGAGGACACCACCUCGCUCAUCUUGGCGUCGCAGAAGCGGCUGAGCCCCUCGCUGUAGUGCUUGGUGCCGUGGAGGAGGACCUCCUCCCACGUGAGCACCGCGACGGCGUGGUACGCCGCGAGGUUGGCCUGGCACCGGCCCGCGGGGUCCGUGGUGUGGGCGUCGGCGUCGGUGUCCAGCUCGAAGUCGGCGUGGAACGCGCGGUUGAGGAAGCUCUCGAGGCUCGGGCCGGGGCUGGAGGGGCUGCGGAGGUGGGCGGACAGCGCGCGCGCGAGGUUCCGCACGGCGGCGCGGGCGGUCGAGACGGCGCGGAGGAAGGAGUCGACGGGGAAGGCGGCCGCGGGGGUCGGGAGCACGCGCGCCUCGAGGCGCGCGAGCUUGUGCUCCAGCUCGGCGAGGGAGUGCUUCAGGCGCGUGGUCUCCUCCAGCGCCUCGUCCCGCGUGCGCGUGGCCGCGGCGAGCCUGCGGGAGAGGUCGGCCGCGGCGAGGCGCCACUGCUCGCCGUCCCCCGCGUCGGCGCCUGCCGAGGCCGGCGUGGCCGACGGCGACGAGCGCGGGGUGGAGCGGCGGGUGAGGGAGACGAACAGCGAGCGGAUGACGGCGCCGGGCGACGCCGGCGCGAGGGCGCGCUGCUUGAAGCGGCAGUCGGAGAAGGACACCGCCGCGACGUACGCCGCCGGUCCGGCGGCGUCCUUGGCCCCGCGGGGUGUUGUCUUGUUGCUGGCGCCGCCGUGACCGUGGUGGAGCGGUGUUGGGACGUGCGCGUACUUCUUGUCGGCCUUCUCCGGCGCCGCCUUGGUGCCGCCUCGCUGCUGCUUCGGCUCGGAGGCCUGACGGCGCACCAUUGUGCAGUGAACGACUCGUAUACUCAGCCACGGCAGAACCGCGGUAACAGAGGAGAGGAGGCAGGAGGAAGGAGGG
This 971-nucleotide unclassified non-coding RNA is filed under the name Zea mays. RNAcentral describes it as "misc RNA Zm00001eb010670". The record is from RNAcentral. Lineage: Eukaryota; Viridiplantae; Streptophyta; Magnoliopsida; Poales; Poaceae.